This 403-nucleotide ribosomal RNA is filed under the name Pelobates cultripes (western spadefoot toad). Its description in RNAcentral is "SSU_rRNA_microsporidia". It matches the Rfam family "Eukaryotic small subunit ribosomal RNA", at positions 56 to 473 of the family's 1831-position model. Lineage: Eukaryota; Metazoa; Chordata; Amphibia; Anura; Pelobatidae. The record is from RNAcentral.
UCGCGGACGUUUCGCGACAUCUCUAGCCAACACUGGUAUGUGUGUGUAUAUAUUUUUUUAUUUAUUUUUUUUUUUUUUAAAUUGGGGUCAUAUUGGGACAUAUAAAAAAAAAAAAAAAAAGACAACUCUGUUCCGCAGAGUAGCUGUUGACAUUAUAGUUGCGCAGGAACUUUGUUGACUCUAGAGAACUCGGGCAAAUCGCACAUCCCCGUGGCGGCGACUUUGCAUGUGGAUGUCAUCCAUAUCAACUUUCUAUGCCAGUUUCUGCACCUACCAUGGUGACCACGGGUAACGGGGAAUCAGGGUUCCAUUCCGUACAGGGACCCUGAGAAACGGCUACCACAUGCAAGGAAGGCAGCAGGCGCGCAAAUGACCCACUCCUGAUGCGGGAAGGUAGUGACGA